CCUACGGGAGGCAGCAGUAGGGAAUAUUGCUCAAUGGGGGAAACCCUGAAGCAGCAACGCCGCGUGGAGGAUGAAGGUUUUCGGAUUGUAAACUCCUUUUGUUAGAGAAGAUAAUGACGGUAUCUAACGAAUAAGCACCGGCUAACUCCGUGCCAGCAGCCGCGGUAAUACGGAGGGUGCAAGCGUUACUCGGAAUCACUGGGCGGAAAGAGCGCGUAGGCGGGAUAGCAAGUCAGAUGUGAAAUCCUAUGGCUUAACCAUAGAACUGCAUUUGAAACUGUUAUUCUAGAGUAUGGUAGAGGUAGGUGGAAUUCUUGGUGUAGGGGUAAAAUCCGUAGAGAUCAAGAGGAAUACUCAUUGCGAAGGCGACCUGCUAGAACAUAACUGACGCUGAUGCGCGAAAGCGUGGGGAGCAAACAGGAUUAGAUACCCCAGUAGUC
This 440-nucleotide ribosomal RNA is filed under the name uncultured bacterium. RNAcentral describes it as "partial 16S ribosomal RNA". It matches the Rfam family "Bacterial small subunit ribosomal RNA", at positions 338 to 795 of the family's 1533-position model. The record is from RNAcentral.